AUGUUGGAGAGGCAGGAUGGAAUCAGUGUUUGUGGAGGAAUUCAUUGAGGAGAUGGAUAUCCAGGAAGGGCCAGGAGUAGGACUUUGAUGACCCUUGUGGGUCCCAUCCAACUCAGGUUAUUCUACAAAUAUCUGAUUCUAAUUGAAGAAGCAUCCCCCAGACCUUGGACUCCAAGACUCCACUUGCCUGGGAGGCUCAAACACCACUCCAGUGACCAAGGAGGUCACAGCAAAGUUCAGGUGCUACAGCAAGGCCCCAGCUCUUCACCAGGCUCUCACCUUGCACUGGGGGUGACCCACAGUGCCCAGCCUGAGGCAGGGAUGCUGCUCCAGCUCUGCUGAACAACAAAGCCCAUGGACUGUGACUGUGGGCAGCUGGAACUCAGAGGCCAAAAAACUGGAAAGACUGGUCACAUCUGUCCAAUUAAACUCUCACAGCCUUCAAAAUAGGGUGGAUUAUUCCAAGCACUUGUAUUUGAGGGAAGAUCCAAUUGAUCCAGGGGAAAACAUAUGGAUGAUUAACAGAGUAAGUCAUUGAUCUCCUGUUCUUAGUAUUGUUUUAUGUCCCUUAGUUUAGAUUUUAACAUCACCUGUGCCUCCUUGGAGUGCUUUAGAAUCACAGAAUGUUUUUCUUAUUAAUUUCUCUAACUCAUAUUUCUCAGAGCUGUUACAAAACUUUGCACUUUGUCUGACUUAGGUGUUUAGCAACAAAAGGUUAUGCUCUCAAUAUCAUGAAAAAAUAAGUUUUUCACUUAAUUUCUAACUAGAAAGUAAAUAGAAUUUGGGCUAUUUUUAGCUGUACUCAAGUUACAAGCAAAAAUAUGUCUUUUGAGUGCAAAAUAUGAUGAGAUGCAAGUAUAAGGCAACCCUUUUUGCACAUAAAACAUAUAUUAAAGGAAAAAAUUAUUCACUGAAAUGAUGAAGCUUUCUAGUUUGCAAACCAAUCUGAAGAAGCUGAUUUAGAGACAUGGGCAAAGUCUUCAUUCACUGUAAUAUUUUCUAUGAAUUAACUUACAAUUAAAUAUAAUUGGUAAUUUAAUACAUGAUACGAGUUUCAAAAUGCCAUUGGAAUGCUUUCUAAGACCCAGUGGGUUUCCCACUCCAAGAUAUUAACAUACUUUUGGCAAUCCCACUGAUUUCAACCAAAUGCUUACAGUUUAUGAGAUGUAAAUUUAAUUGCUCUGCAUUAAUUUCUAGGCACUGGUCCUAAAAUCAGUCUCUCUCUCCCCCUCCCCUGCUCCCCCUCAAUCAAACAUAAAUCAGGACAUGUGCCAAGUCUUACUGACUUUCCUGCAAAUCCAUCUGUAUACCAGGAUCUGCCACUGAAAGAUGGUGCUUUAGCAUCUCUAGUUUGUAUGAGUUUGGCAAACUCAUGAGAAUAUGUUUUUCCAGUCUCUCCUUCUCAAAUAAAAAAAUAAAAAUGUGUAUCCUAAAUUAUUCAUUUGAUUGGAUAACCAUUAGCAAAAAAAAUCCCAAUUAUUUUUUAUUAUCCUUGAAAAAGACCUGAAAUAGAAUAAAGUCACUGUCAUUAACACUUGUAAAGCAUUAAUACAGAAAGGUUUCUUAGCAGCCAUUUGCAGAAGAGGAGUCAAUUAAACAAGGUGGUAAUUUUCCCACUCUGAAAAUAGGUGGUGAUAGAAACAUGAACCAAUAGAACUUACCAAGCUGAAUCUAUAUCCCAUUCAAUGUGUUUGACUGUCUCUCUGUCCCUUUCUCUAUGUACAAAUAAUUUACUAAGAUGCUGCUUUCUUGAUACAGGUGGCUUUUCUGGU
Non-coding RNA from Zonotrichia albicollis (white-throated sparrow), 1772 nucleotides. Lineage: Eukaryota; Metazoa; Chordata; Aves; Passeriformes; Passerellidae. The record is from RefSeq and is a predicted model, not a curated record.